This 26-nucleotide ribosomal RNA is filed under the name Nakaseomyces glabratus. Its description in RNAcentral is "[Candida] glabrata partial 28S ribosomal RNA". The record is from RNAcentral. Lineage: Eukaryota; Fungi; Ascomycota; Saccharomycetes; Saccharomycetales; Saccharomycetaceae.
GACCUCAAAUCAGGUAGGGUACCCGC